This 468-nucleotide ribosomal RNA is filed under the name uncultured bacterium. Its description in RNAcentral is "partial 16S ribosomal RNA". It matches the Rfam family "Bacterial small subunit ribosomal RNA", at positions 28 to 507 of the family's 1533-position model. The record is from RNAcentral.
GACGAACGCUGGCGGCGUGCUUAACACAUGCAAGUCGAACGGAAAGGCCCUGCUUUUGUGGGGUGCUCGAGUGGCGAACGGGUGAGUAACACGUGAGUAACCUGCCCUUGACUUUGGGAUAACUUCAGGAAACUGGGGCUAAUACCGGAUAGGAGCUCCUGCUGCGUGGUGGGGGUUGGAAAGUUUCGGCGGUUGGGGGUGGACUCGCGGCUUAUCAGCUUGUUGGUGGGGUAGUGGCUUACCCAGGCUUUGACGGGUAGCCGGCCUGAGAGGGUGACCGGCCACAUUGGGACUGAGAUACGGCCCAGACUCCUACGGGAGGCAGCAGUGGGGAAUAUUGCACAAUGGGCGGAAGCCUGAUGCAGCAACGCCGCGUGCGGGAUGACGGCCUUCGGGUUGUAAACCGCUUUCGCCUGUGACGAAGCGUGAGUGACGGUAAUGGGUAAAGAAGCACCGGCUAACUACGUG